This 494-nucleotide ribosomal RNA is filed under the name uncultured Streptococcus sp. RNAcentral describes it as "bacterial SSU rRNA". It matches the Rfam family "Bacterial small subunit ribosomal RNA", at positions 29 to 507 of the family's 1533-position model. Lineage: Bacteria; Bacillati; Bacillota; Bacilli; Lactobacillales; Streptococcaceae. The record is from RNAcentral.
ACGAACGCUGGCGGCGUGCCUAAUACAUGCAAGUAGAACGCUGAAGGAGGAGCUUGCUUCUCCGGAUGAGUUGCGAACGGGUGAGUAACGCGUAGGUAACCUGCCUGGUAGCGGGGGAUAACUAUUGGAAACGAUAGCUAAUACCGCAUAACAGUAGAUGUUGCAUGACAUUUGCUUAAAAGGUGCAAUUGCAUCACUACCAGAUGGACCUGCGUUGUAUUAGCUAGUUGGUGGGGUAACGGCUCACCAAGGCGACGAUACAUAGCCGACCUGAGAGGGUGAUCGGCCACACUGGGACUGAGACACGGCCCAGACUCCUACGGGAGGCAGCAGUAGGGAAUCUUCGGCAAUGGACGGAAGUCUGACCGAGCAACGCCGCGUGAGUGAAGAAGGUUUUCGGAUCGUAAAGCUCUGUUGUAAGAGAAGAACGAGUGUGAGGGUGGAAAGUUCACACUGUGACGGUAUCUUACCAGAAAGGGACGGCUAACUACGUG